This 234-nucleotide ribosomal RNA is filed under the name uncultured bacterium. Its description in RNAcentral is "partial 16S ribosomal RNA". It matches the Rfam family "Bacterial small subunit ribosomal RNA", at positions 28 to 260 of the family's 1533-position model. The record is from RNAcentral.
GACGAACGCUGGCGGCGUGCUUAACACAUGCAAGUCGCACGGGGCUGGGGGCAACUCCAGCUCAGUGGCGGACGGGUGCGUAACACGUAAGCAACAUGUCCAAGGGUGGGGAUAGCCGGCCCGAACGGCCGGGUAAUACCGCAUGCAGUCACCGGCGGCAUCACAGGUGACGAAAGCCGGGGCAACCUGGCGCCCAUGGAGUGGCUUGCGGCCUAUCAGCUAGNGGUGGGGUAA